Molecule: non-coding RNA, 372 nt
Organism: Pelobates cultripes (western spadefoot toad)
Lineage: Eukaryota; Metazoa; Chordata; Amphibia; Anura; Pelobatidae
Source: the annotation of a GenBank genome assembly
GAAUAAUGGUAAUUAUGGUAAUUAUAGUCACCAGAACAACUACAGCUUAGUUGUAUUGUUUUGGUGAGUAUAGGCAUUCACCUGCAAGCUUUUUGGAGUCUUUUAAGAGAAAAGGCAGUACUUACAUUACCGCCUAAGGAUACCUCCACUGGCCACUCCUCAGAUAGACAUUAGAGAUGCUUCCUGGGGUAGUGCUGCAUAGUGUGACUGACAUUCAGUGUCUCCACCCUCUGCAUGCAGACACUGAACUUUCCUCAUACAGAUGCAUUGAUUCAAUACAUCUCUGAGGAGAUGCUGAUUGGCGAGGGCGGCGUUUGGCUCCGUCCUGACCCGCUUCCUUGAUGAUCUGAGUCAAUCCAAUGCUUUUCUAUA